ACGCUGGCGGAAUGCUUUACACAUGCAAGUCGAACGGCAGCAUAGAGAGCUUGCUCUCUGAUGGCGAGUGGCGAACGGGUGAGUAAUAUAUCGGAACGUGCCUAGUAAUGGGGAAUAACUAGCUGAAAGGUUAGCUAAUGCCGCAUACGACCUACGGGUGAAAGCAGGGGAUCUUCGGACCUUGCGUUAUUAGAGCGGCCGAUAUCUGAUUAGCUUGUUGGUGGGGUAAUGGCCUACCAAGGCGACGAUCAGUAGCUGGUCUGAGAGGACGAUCAGCCACACUGGAACUGAGACACGGUCCAGACUCCUACGGGAGGCAGCAGUGGGGAAUUUUGGACAAUGGGGGCAACCCUGAUCCAGCCAUUCCGCGUGAGUGAAGAAGGCCUUCGGGUUGUAAAGCUCUUUCGCAAGAGAAGAAAACUUGCUAUCUAAUAAAUAGUAAGUAUGACGGUAUCUUGACAAGAAGCACCGGCUAACUACGUGCCAGCAGCCGCGGUAAUACGUAGGGUGCAAGCGUUAAUCGGAAUUACUGGGCGUAAAGCGUGCGCAGGCAGUUUUAUAAGUCAGAUGUGAAAUCCCCGAGCUCAACUUGGGAACUGCGUUUGAAACUGUAAGACUAGAGUGUGUCAGAGGGGGGUAGAAUUCCAAGUGUAGCAGUGAAAUGCGUAGAGAUUUGGAGGAAUACCAAUGGCGAAGGCAGCCCCCUGGGAUAACACUGACGCUCAUGCACGAAAGCGUGGGGAGCAAACAGGAUUAGAUACCCUGGUAGUCCACGCCCUAAACGAUGUCUACUAGUUGUUGGUGGAGUAAAAUCCAUGAGUAACGCAGCUAACGCGUGAAGUAGACCGCCUGGGGAGUACGGUCGCAAGAUUAAACUC
This 878-nucleotide ribosomal RNA is filed under the name uncultured beta proteobacterium. Its description in RNAcentral is "bacterial SSU rRNA". It matches the Rfam family "Bacterial small subunit ribosomal RNA", at positions 33 to 902 of the family's 1533-position model. The record is from RNAcentral. Lineage: Bacteria; Pseudomonadati; Pseudomonadota; Betaproteobacteria.